AGAGCGUGACCAUAGGCCAGAGGAGGAGGAAGAGGAAGGCGAUGCAGGACACACGCACAGGUACCAGCACAGUGCCCAGGAGGAUAAUGCGGGCCCAGCGCCAAGCACUCAGGAACGCCCAUAUCAGCCUGUUCACUAUGUCAGGUUGGUCCUGCUGAAGCCAGUGGCUACCUUCUGACAAAAUGGAGCAGCGUCGGCGUCGUCACCAUGUGAUGCUUGAGAGGCAGGCAGCUGAAAGAUCAAAACACAUCAACCUGAGACCAUCCUUCCAUAACACUGUGUGGAGAUGUGCCUUCCCCACAGGAGACAUACCAUCUCACUGACCGGAGUGGUCCCAUCUGGUGAUUUCUCUGUGCCCUUGCUAAUAAUUAGCAGAGUGCUUUGUGUAACGUGGUGCACGUGACUCUGGGCUCAAACCCCAGCCACACAGCUAAGGAAAACAGAACAAGGUAAUCGUAUUGAGAAUGAUAGUGGGAGAGGGUGGGGAGAUCAAGGGAGGUGGCCAGAGAAGGCUCUCAACUUGCAAAAUCUAGUGAGGACAUCCAAGAACAGCCAAAUGGGUUCUGGGGUUGACAUCUGCAAGAAGCAGAAAGAAGGAGUGGCUGGUGUUCAGGGACCAGAAGAGGCUCACAGGACAGGAAUGGGGAGGAGGAGCCUGAUUGGGUAAGCGUGGCAAGGGAAGCACUUGGCAAGACGCUGAAGAGGAAUCAGGAGGGCCCUAACCACAGGCACGGGGAGUGUUUGCCUGACCCGGUACUGAGCUCGGUCUCCUUGCUACGGAGGUUUGGUUUAAUUUCACAUUUUGUAACUAUACUCAUGUGUCUGGAGGUCUUAGGAACUCCGUUUGCAGGUAACUGUACCACUGCUAUGCUACACUUUUUUUGUGACUUCAUCAGGGGAACUUUUUUCACUUAAAUCAAGAGAAAUCAAUUUAACUGAUUAACUGACCAGUUUAACUGGAAAACAAAUCCAGGAAUAUCAUCUGCAAAUGCUUGGUGGGGUUGUAAGAAACAUCAAAUACGAGUCUUUCCCGUUAAACAUGAUAAAACUUGUGUUCAGAACAAGAAACUCAAAGUUUCAUCCCCACCCACACCCUGUAUGGAUACUUUUACAAACACCCCCCCCCCCCACACACCAAGUAAAAUCUCUGUUUGCACAAAGGUCUGCUGGGUAUUGCAGGACCCUUUCCUCCUGGAAGCAGUGAUCCCUUCUCCUUUCCUUUGUUCCGUGUGCCAAUUCUUUUCAGAUCAGACCCCAGUUAAUGAGGAAAAGACAAUCGUCACCUGAGUCAGAAUGAAAACCAGAUGGACUUCCUGUCUCGUGCUGGCUCUUCUAAGCCAAGAAUCAAGUGUACCUUGUCCAGACACACUUCAGUUCAAUUGGAAGUUUUUCUUUGGGACCCCAAACUUAUUUCUAACAGGGUUAAAGCUGUCGUUGGUAAUGCAUUCUAUACUUAUUCCAAGCACCUGCCUCAUGAAGUCGAGAAUUACAUUUUAUUAUCCUGCACCACCAACAAAUAACAUCUAACUCAGGGUCCUACUCAGCAGGCAUGCGCUUUGACUUCUGUGGCUUAAUUUAACUGAGAAAAGUGUAACAAAUCUUAGGGCAUUUUAAUACCAAACACCCAUCCUACCUCAACAGAGAUCAGCUGGUGGAGGUGUACCUGAACUUCAACCCUGACACUAACAAUAUGCGGGGUCUAUACAGUCACUGGGACCCUGUCAUCAGCUGGUGGAGGUGUACCUGAACUUCAACCCCGACGCUAACAAUAAGCAGGGUCUAUACAGUCAUCGGGACCCUGUCAUCAGCUGGUGGAGGUGUACCUGAACUUCAACCCCGACACUAACAAUAUGUGGGGUCUAUAUAGCCAUCGGGACCUUGUCAUCCUUAUUCAAUUUUGAGGAGAAAUAGAAAAGUGCUGUUCUGAACUUUAAUGUGAAAUGACUGGGCAUGUGCUUUUGUGUGUAAGUGUGAAUUGAUAUGGUUAGUAUGCUUUUCUGCGUGUAACAUAGUUAGUGUACUUAUGGGGGUCAGAGGGCAGCCUGUGGGAGCCAGUUUUCCUUUUCCACCAGGUGGGUUCCGGAGAUGAAACUCAGCUCAUCGAGGUCAGUAGCAGGUACCUUUACCCGAUAAGCCACCUUGUCAGCCCCAAGUUUUAAACUUUUUGUUUCCUAAAUGGUUGCUGUGGAUCGUAAAAGUACCGAAACUUCAGAAAGUCCAACAGGAGUCAUUGAACUGAACAAAAUUAUAAUUUUUUUCUGAAAUCAAAGUGCGCAAGCUCACUGUCAACAGGUUAUUAAUCACUGUUAAGCAUUUAAGAGUUCUGUUAAAAACUGUCCAUGAAAGACCACCCGUGAGCAUCCCUGGGGGAUGCUCAAGCUCCCUUUAGGGAGUCAAAGGGCUUCAUUACAAUCUCAGGCACUGUUUGCUGGUUUUAGCCCUGCUGAAGUCUGUGCUGGUGCUGCACAAGCAUCGGUGGAGCAAAGCUUCCCUCUGAGCACAGGUCAACACGGCGACCCUAGCAACGCUAACAGCCACUGUGUUCACUACUGCACGGUGCUAAAUACACCAACUAAUUAACUCAAUUAAAAGUCAGUUUCACUUCACAAUGAAGUAGCAAAACCUUAAUGUAUUAAUUCUCAGCCUUUGAACAUAUCUUUUUAGUAGACCACAUGAUCACGUAUAGAGGACAAAGUAUACAGUUGUGCUAUCACCCAGAAGUAAAGGUGGUCUCAAGAGAAGGGCUUGUGACCAGGUGUGGUGGCGCAUGCCUUUAAUCCCAGCCCUCAGGAGGCACAGGCAGGUAGAUCUCUGUGAGUUUGAGGCCAGCAUCAUCUACAUAGUGAGUUCCAGGACAAUCAGAGUUAUGUCUCAAAAACAAAAAGGGAAGAAAAACAUCAUGCAGCUGAAUUAAUGAGUGGGCUCUUCAUUUUGUUUUAAUGGAAUACCAUUUUUACUGGAAAGAUGUCUUACCUAUUCU
Myodes glareolus (Bank vole) is the source of this 2980-nucleotide non-coding RNA. Lineage: Eukaryota; Metazoa; Chordata; Mammalia; Rodentia; Cricetidae. The record is from RefSeq and is a predicted model, not a curated record.